Equus caballus (horse) is the source of this 447-nucleotide long non-coding RNA. RefSeq lists it as uncharacterized. The record is from RefSeq and is a predicted model, not a curated record. Lineage: Eukaryota; Metazoa; Chordata; Mammalia; Perissodactyla; Equidae.
CUAAGGCCGAGAGAGCGCUCAGGGCCACCUACGGGUAUUUAAGAGAGCGCUCAGUGUCGUCACUUCCGCUGUCUCGCCCUUUCCUCGGGGGCGCGGCUGCCCAAGGGAAGUAACAAGGGCCUUCUGCGCCGGUCAGGGGUAAAGAUCAAACCAAUGGCCAGAGGGAGAGCAAGAUCGUCUGUCUUCUCCAGGGCAAGAAUGAUAUUUGGUGUCACGUUAAAGAACUUCUCAGUCUCACGCUCUUUUCAGGACUUGGCUGACAUUCAGUCCUCACUCCCAGGAUAGAUGCCACUUGCUCACCACUUUCAUCCCACACUAACCUUGAGCUCUGCGUCCUGGACCUCCAUCUCAGACUUGUAAAGGUCAGGCUCAAAGGGACCACUGGUUAUCCGCAUGGGGCCAUUGGGCAUGAGCAGAACUGUAAAUUUAAACUGGGCAACAAAUUCA